GUGCUUGCUUCGGGAGCACAUAUACUAAAAUUGGAACAAUACAGAGAAGAUUAGCACAGCCCCUGCACAAGGAUGACACAAAAAUUUGUGAAGCGUUCCAUAUUUUU
Small nuclear RNA from Cricetulus griseus (Chinese hamster), 107 nucleotides. The record is from Ensembl. Lineage: Eukaryota; Metazoa; Chordata; Mammalia; Rodentia; Cricetidae.